Enhydra lutris kenyoni (northern sea otter) is the source of this 372-nucleotide long non-coding RNA. RefSeq lists it as uncharacterized. The transcript has 3 exons. The record is from RefSeq and is a predicted model, not a curated record. NCBI's taxonomy places the organism in Eukaryota, Metazoa, Chordata, Mammalia, Carnivora, Mustelidae.
UGUUGAGCCUGUAGUUGUUCUUGGAUCUUGUUUAAACUAGUACCAUCUGAAGUGAAUACCUGUGCCCAUUCUUUUCCAGGUUUUGCUGUUACCACUCAAGAUACCAUACCUUGAAUAAUACAUGGGAGACCUCAGGACACUGAUAAGAUCUCAAGCUAUAACUAUGUGCUGGGCAGACAAGCAGGGAAGACAUUGUGAGCAGAAGAAACACUAUAUCCCAAGGAUUGAAACCUUACCAUGUGUAUUCAGGCAUUGAUGCCCACUGCACAGAGAGGUCAUGAAGAUGAAAGUGCUCAGGAUGUCCAGCACACGGUAAGUAGCUUAAUAGGUGAGCCUACCUCAUUGUGAUUAUUUUUCAGUUUCCUAUGUGUU